UACGUAGGGUGCGAGCGUUAAUCGGAAUUACUGGGCGUAAAGCGUGCGCAGGCGGCUUUGCAAGACAGAUGUGAAAUCCCCGGGCUCAACCUGGGAACUGUAUUUGUGACUGCAAGGCUAGAGUACGGCAGAGGGGGAUGGAAUUCCGCGUGUAGCAGUGAAAUGCGUAGAUAUGCGGAGGAACACCAAUGGCGAAGGCAAUCCCCUGGGCCUGUACUGACGCUCAUGCACGAAAGCGUGGGGAGCAAACAGG
This 253-nucleotide ribosomal RNA is filed under the name uncultured bacterium. RNAcentral's name for it is "partial 16S ribosomal RNA". It matches the Rfam family "Bacterial small subunit ribosomal RNA", at positions 524 to 776 of the family's 1533-position model. The record is from RNAcentral.